GCUGGGCUAGCUCAGUCAGUAGAGCAUGAGACCCUUAAUCUCAGGGUCGUGGGUUCGAGCUCCACAUCGGGCG
Molecule: transfer RNA, 73 nt
Filed under: Oryctolagus cuniculus (rabbit)
Lineage: Eukaryota; Metazoa; Chordata; Mammalia; Lagomorpha; Leporidae
Rfam family: tRNA
About the family: Transfer RNA (tRNA) molecules are approximately 80 nucleotides in length. Their secondary structure includes four short double-helical elements and three loops (D, anti-codon, and T loops).
Source: Rfam by way of RNAcentral